This 296-nucleotide long non-coding RNA is filed under the name Nicotiana benthamiana. RNAcentral describes it as "long non-coding RNA (NBEN_LNC041954)". The record is from RNAcentral. Lineage: Eukaryota; Viridiplantae; Streptophyta; Magnoliopsida; Solanales; Solanaceae.
UUUUUAUUUGUAACUGGCGAACUUCAGCUCUAGAGCUGAAGUUUUUGUUUGUAACUGGCGAACUUAGCUCUAGAGCUGAAGUUUUUGUUUUUGUAACUGAAGGCGAAGUUUUUGUUUGUAACUGACGAACUUCUACUCUAAAGUCCUCUUCCCUUCAUAAUGAUACUGUCACGAAAACAUGAAAAUAGUUACUUUACUGUCAGAUAAAGCAUUCAAUAGUAAGGAUACCUCGUCUUAUAACUCUCUAAUCGGAUCAAUUAUUUAGAUGAUUAGUUCAACAACUAAACCAUCCAAAG